ACGAACGCUGGCGGCGUGCUUAACACAUGCAAGUCGCACGGAAAGGCCCUGCUUUUGUGGGGUGCUCGAGUGGCGAACGGGUGAGUAACACGUGAGUAACCUGCCCUUGACUUUGGGAUAACUUCAGGAAACUGGGGCUAAUACCGGAUAGGAGCUCCUGCUGCAUGGUGGGGGUUGGAAAGUUUCGGCGGUUGGGGAUGGACUCGCGGCUUAUCAGCUUGUUGGUGGGGUAGGGGCUUACCAAGGCUUUGACGGGUCGCCGGCCUGAGAGGGUGACCGGCGACAUUGGGACUGAGAUACGGCCCAGACUCCAACAGGAGGCAGCAGGGGGGAAUAUUGCACAGUAGGCGGAAGCCUGAUGCGAAAGCGCCGCGUGCGGGAAGAAGGCCUUCGGGUUAUAAACCGCUUUCGCCUAUGACGAAGCGUGAGUGACGGUAAUGGGUAAAGAAGCACCGGCUAACUACGUG
Molecule: ribosomal RNA, 467 nt
Filed under: uncultured bacterium
Lineage: Bacteria
Description: partial 16S ribosomal RNA
Rfam family: Bacterial small subunit ribosomal RNA
Source: RNAcentral